Molecule: non-coding RNA, 837 nt
Organism: Sus scrofa (pig)
Lineage: Eukaryota; Metazoa; Chordata; Mammalia; Artiodactyla; Suidae
Source: RefSeq, a predicted model, not a curated record
GUCAUCAACCUGACUAAUGUUCACCCUGGGGAGGGCACUGUGCCGGGGUCCCAUUCUCAAGGUGCUUGCAGUCUAAUGAAGACAGUAAGAAAAGUCCCAUGGUAGUAACGGCUAACGUGUCCUCGGUGUUCUAAAGUGACACUGUUUCUAAAUCUUUACCUCUGUAUCACUCGCUAACCUCACAGGACUCGAUAAUUUAUCAACGUCCCUUGAAAAUUGUCUCAAGACUGCAGCUUCCUUGAGGGAGAGGCUGGAGCUGUAUUCAUCAUUGGAGCCUCAGUGACAACACACAGUGAGAUAUGAGAGUCUCAGAAGACACAUCGCUGAAUUACUAGUCAUAGCCAUGUCUAACAGAUUAAAGACCUGAAUCGUGUAUUUGUUGACUGAAUGAACUUAUAUAAAGUAGGCAUGGGGCCUGAAUUCUAAUGAGAGUUUUGGAUGGAGCCUGAAACCCUUUUGCAUGAAAGGCAUUUCUUUGUGAAACAGUUAAUUCAUAUUUAUGAUGCUUAUACCAUGAUGGAAUCAUUUUGGAAGGAAAAAAAAAAACACCUUUGAGUCCUGGAAUAUUUUAAAGGCAUAGAAGGGGUUAACUGCCAUAGAUCCCCCUCACCUUAUCUUUAAUGUAUUUCUUUAUACAACGGAAAAGAAAAAUUGUCAUGAGCCAAAUAGGUAACCAAAUAUGCCUCAGCUUUAUCUACUGCACAUAUAACUGCACCAAACAUUUUGAUUAAAUGGACUGAAUUCAGUGAAGAUGGUGUUGUUGGUUAUGACGGCUAUCUUUUUUUUUUUUUUUUUUAAUUUUGUCUUUUUAGGGCCACACCCGAGGCAUUUGGAAGC